This 253-nucleotide ribosomal RNA is filed under the name uncultured bacterium. RNAcentral's name for it is "partial 16S ribosomal RNA". It matches the Rfam family "Bacterial small subunit ribosomal RNA", at positions 524 to 776 of the family's 1533-position model. The record is from RNAcentral.
UACGGGGGGAGCAAGCGUUGUUCGGAAUUACUGGGCGUAAAGGGCUCGUAGGCGGCCAACUAAGUCAGACGUGAAAUCCCUCGGCUUAACCGGGGAACUGCGUCUGAUACUGGAUGGCUUGAAUCCGGGAGAGGGAUGCGGAAUUCCAGGUGUAGCGGUGAAAUGCGCAGAUAUCAGGAGGAACACCGGUGGCGAAGGCGGGUCUCUGGGCCGAUACUGACGCUGAGGAGCGAAAGCGUGGGGAGCGAACAGG